GAGCGCUGCAGUGUGGCCGUAGGACACUCUGAAGCAAUGAGUGGCCAGCUGAAGAAGACGACCAGGGGCGAGGAAGCCGCGCAGCAGAGAGCGUCGUCUUCGGAAGAACAGCAGCAGGAAAAGAUAAAUGAGGUGCGGGGUCUCCUCGACAGUCUGACGGAGGAGAUGCCGAGUUUUCUGUCGGACGCCACCAUCCGGCGUUUCCUCCGGGCGAGGAGCUGGAGCACGGAGCAGGCAACCAAGUCUCUCAAGGAGACUGUCAAGUGGAGGCGUCAGUACAGGCCGGAUGCAAUUUCCUGGGACGACAUUCCAGAAACGGAGAACGAGGCCCGGAGGACACAUGUGGCCGACUACCUUGACAAGAACGGAAGAAGUGUCCUCGUAGCAAACGUGCCAAUGAAGCAAACAGUCUAAAGUUUCAGCAAAGGAGCAGAUAAAGCACCUGGUAUAUCUCCUGGAGUAUCUCGCCACCAACUCAGCGGAUGAACAAGACGACUUCGUCGUUUGGCUGACCGACUUCCGAGGCUGGUCCAUAUCGAGCACGUCACUGUCGAUAGCCCGCGAAUCCAUGCACAUAAUCCAGAACUACUAUCCAGGGGUGAUAGCCGUGGCGAUUCCUUUCGACCCUCCCAGGAUGUUUGAAUCUUUUUGGAAGAUAGCCAAGAACUUCGUGCAGCCAGACAUGAAAGAGAAAGUGAAGUUUGUGUAUGCAAACAAGCCGGAGAGCCUCAAGAUAAUGGCUGACAUCUUUGACUUGGAUACACUGGAGUCUUCGUUUGGAGGAAGAAGCACCGGUACGGCCUUCCACAUCAACAAGUAUGCAGAGAGAAUGAGAAGAGCCGACAAGAUGAGAGGAGCAUCAAAAGAUUCAAAUGGCCACAACCACAACUGAUCUCCCUGACCAAUAGUUCUAGAAAAAUAUCUCCCUGGCCAAUGGCCCUGACUAAAUACAAGUUGCUUGUGAGCCGUACAUGAGCUUAGCUAAAGCACACGAACAGGGUAAAGAUCUACUUAUACACUAAAACAUGAAGGCGCACGUUUGAAUAUUUGCGGAAGUCUAGAAAUAUUUGCGGAAGUCUAGAAAGUAAAAGCACCUGAGAGUUUUGAAAUGGAUGAAGCUAAAAAAGCCUUGAUAUAUGGGCAUGUAAUUUCCUUUUUAGUUCAAAAUUCUUGGUUCACCAAACGAACAGGAUUUACAUAAAUUAGCACACGCAUAUCCGGGAAAACUAAUUAAGAUGUUUAAUACUAUCAUGAUUUGAAAUAGCACACAAACAUUAGAGUAAAUAACGCUCAGCAUCACAUGGUAUGGCAGAGAAGAUGUCACACUUGUGUGAAACACAUUUUUUUUCUGCGCGAGGAUUGCGUGAAACUCUUAAACUCAAAUAUCC
This 1388-nucleotide ribosomal RNA is filed under the name Triticum aestivum (bread wheat). RNAcentral describes it as "partial small subunit ribosomal RNA". Lineage: Eukaryota; Viridiplantae; Streptophyta; Magnoliopsida; Poales; Poaceae. The record is from RNAcentral.